Molecule: ribosomal RNA, 611 nt
Filed under: Desmonostoc lechangense DRL_10
Lineage: Bacteria; Bacillati; Cyanobacteriota; Cyanophyceae; Nostocales; Nostocaceae
Description: bacterial SSU rRNA
Rfam family: Bacterial small subunit ribosomal RNA
Source: RNAcentral
GAACGAAAUCUUAGGAUUUAGUGGCGGACGGGUGAGUAACGCGUGAGAAUCUGGCUUUAGGUCUGGGACAACCAUUGGAAACGGUGGCUAAUACCGGAUGUGCCGAAAGGUGAAGCGCUUACUGCCUAAAGAUGAGCUCGCGUCUGAUUAGCUAGUAGGUGGGGUAAAAGCCUACCUAGGCGACGAUCAGUAGCUGGUCUGAGAGGAUGAUCAGCCACACUGGGACUGAGACACGGCCCAGACUCCUACGGGAGGCAGCAGUGGGGAAUUUUCCGCAAUGGGCGAAAGCCUGACGGAGCAAUACCGCGUGAGGGAGGAAGGCUCUUGGGUUGUAAACCUCUUUUCUCAGGGAAGAAAAAAAUGACGGUACUUGAGGAAUCAGCAUCGGCUAACUCCGUGCCAGCAGCCGCGGUAAUACGGAGGAUGCAAGCGUUAUCCGGAAUGAUUGGGCGUAAAGCGUCCGCAGGUGGCUGUGUAAGUCUGCUGUUAAAGAGCGAAGCUCAACUUCGUAAAGGCAGUGGAAACUACACGGCUAGAGUGCGUUCGGGGCAGAGGGAAUUCCUGGUGUAGCGGUGAAAUGCGUAGAGAUCAGGAAGAACACCGGUGGCGAA